RNAcentral lists this ribosomal RNA (54 nucleotides) under Polygonatum odoratum. Its description in RNAcentral is "partial 5.8S ribosomal RNA". Lineage: Eukaryota; Viridiplantae; Streptophyta; Magnoliopsida; Asparagales; Asparagaceae. The record is from RNAcentral.
UUGACGCAGUUGUGCCUGAUGCCAUUUGGUGGAGGGCACAUCUGCCUGUGUGUC